GGUUUGCUAGCUCAAUUGGUAGAGCAAGAGAUUUUUGUGUGAGAAACUCAUUUCUCCAGGUUGCGGGUUCGACCCCUGCGUAAGCCC
This is a transfer RNA of Sphaerobolus stellatus SS14, 87 nucleotides long. It matches the Rfam family "tRNA". Rfam says of the family: Transfer RNA (tRNA) molecules are approximately 80 nucleotides in length. Their secondary structure includes four short double-helical elements and three loops (D, anti-codon, and T loops). The record is from Rfam. Lineage: Eukaryota; Fungi; Basidiomycota; Agaricomycetes; Geastrales; Sphaerobolaceae.